RNAcentral lists this transfer RNA (75 nucleotides) under Bacillus sp. AY3-1. RNAcentral's name for it is "tRNA-Gly". The stretch from base 8 to 64 matches the Rfam family "tRNA", at positions 8 to 63 of the family's 71-position model. From Rfam's summary of the family: Transfer RNA (tRNA) molecules are approximately 80 nucleotides in length. Their secondary structure includes four short double-helical elements and three loops (D, anti-codon, and T loops). Lineage: Bacteria; Bacillati; Bacillota; Bacilli; Caryophanales; Bacillaceae. The record is from RNAcentral.
GCGGAAGUAGUUCAGUGGUAGAAUACAACCUUGCCAAGGUUGGGGUCGAUGGUUCGAGUCCAUUUAGGCCCACCA